GACGAGCGCUGGCGGCGUGCUUAACACAUGCAAGUCGAACGGAAAGGCCCUGCUUUUGCGGGGUGCUCGAGUGGCGAACGGGUGAGUAACACGUGAGUAACCUGCCCUUGACUUUGGGAUAACUUCAGGAAACUGGGGCUAAUACCGGAUAGGAGCUCCUGCUGCAUGGUGGGGGUUGGAAAGUUUCGGCGGUUGGGGAUGGACUCGCGGCUUAUCAGCUUGUUGGUGGGGUAGUGGCUUACCAAGGCUUUGACGGGUAGCCGGCCUGAGAGGGUGACCGGCCACAUUGGGACUGAGAUACGGCCCAGACUCCUACGGGAGGCAGCAGUGGGGAAUAUUGCACAAUGGGCGGAAGCCUGAUGCAGCAACGCCGCGUGCGGGAUGACGGCCUUCGGGUUGUAAACCGCUUUCGCCUGUGACGAAGCGUGAGUGACGGUAAUGGGUAAAGAAGCACCGGCUAACUACGUG
Molecule: ribosomal RNA, 468 nt
Filed under: uncultured bacterium
Lineage: Bacteria
Description: partial 16S ribosomal RNA
Rfam family: Bacterial small subunit ribosomal RNA
Source: RNAcentral